GUUUUACCUUUAUAAUUUUCCGAUCGGAUUGUGGAACACCAUUUAAAUUCCGAGUCGGAAUUGAAUUCCGAUUCCGAUGCGAUUCCGACUCGGAUUGCAGAACAGGGC
Long non-coding RNA from Rhagoletis zephyria (snowberry fruit fly), 108 nucleotides. RefSeq lists it as uncharacterized. The record is from RefSeq and is a predicted model, not a curated record. NCBI's taxonomy places the organism in Eukaryota, Metazoa, Arthropoda, Insecta, Diptera, Tephritidae.